Molecule: long non-coding RNA, 4448 nt
Filed under: Sus scrofa (pig)
Lineage: Eukaryota; Metazoa; Chordata; Mammalia; Artiodactyla; Suidae
Description: lncRNA (ENSSSCG00000062969.1)
Source: RNAcentral
CUUUUUUUUUUUCCCUUUUUUUUCUUUUUUUAAGUGUAAAAGUCUAACAGAUACAAACAAAAAGGGCUUGCUGAAUUCCAAAGUGUGUGUGGGGGGGGAGUAGAGAACAAUGAGGGUAGACCUAUCCCAGUCUUAUAACAUUUUGAGUUGACACAAAUUUAAAAAGAAGAAGGAGGAGGAGGAGGAAGAUAAGGAGGAGGAGGAAUUUCUGCUGUGGUGCAGUGGGUUAAGAAUCCAACGGUAGUGGCUCAGAUUGCUGCAGAGGCAUGGGUUUGAUCCCUAGCCCAGCAUAGUGGGUUAAAGGAUCUGGCACUGUCACAGCUUCAUUGGAGUUCGCAGCUGCAGCUAGGAUUCAAUCCCUGGCCUGGUGGAACUUGCAUAUAUCGCAGAUGCAGCCAUAAAGAAAAGAAGAAGAUGAAAAAAAAAACCUCCUACAAGCAUCUUGAGGCAGAAUUCAGACUGAUAUCCAAAUUCACCACUCCCACAGUAAAUAUCAGAGAACCAGGUAACAAUCUACAGCUUCAUUGAUCUGUGAAGGCAACAAAGAAACAUUGUCAGAUACUCAUAGGCUUUAUAAUAUAUACCAACUACAUCCUUUUGAAAAGUUACAUGUUGAUAUACAUUAAUUCGCCAAUAUAGUAUUUUAAAAGAGAUGAAUUCAUAAACUGAAUGGAUUGGCAUUUUCCCCCUCCCUUUUAGAAAUCGAUUCAAAGGAAAUAAAUCACAUUGCAAAAAAAUAUGUGUGAAAUAUGUUCUCUGCAAUAUUAUAUGUUAGUCAAAUAUUAGAAAUAACCUAAUUUUCCCUAAGAAGACCACGAGGUGUUAAAAUGAUCAAUGAAAAGGAAUUAAAUGAUGUAGAAAAAUCAUUUCUCACUUUUCAUUUUGUAUGCUCUCAGUUACAUAAGACCAAGACAUUGAUCAUUUUUUGGAGGGGAAAAAAAUCAUUUUAGUUAUGUCUGGGGAGAGAAGAUGAUGGAUAUUUGUCUGCUUUUUCAUAUAGUUUUCAUUCUUUAUAAACAUUUUUCGGCAAACAUAAGAAUUUUGCAGCAUUGGAAAAAAAAAAGAGUAGUAGGGAUUGAAACUUUCAAAUUUAAUUUGGGGUGAAUUUUAGGAAAUCAGACAUCUGCAGAUAGUUCAAGGUGGUUAUAGCCUUGAGACUUCUUGCAUUAGCCUGUAAAAGUUUAAGCAGUAUAGGUGUGCCACGGCCACAGGCCACGGGUCUCAUGCCUGAAUGAUCCUGGGAGCCAAGUUAGCUUUGGCCACUAAGCUUGGAAGAAAAUGUUCUUCUCUUGAAAUAUUUGCUAUGCUCCCCUUCCAUGCUUCAUUUUUUUUUUUUUUUUCUCUUCUAACUGAAUUGGAACGUUGACUGUAGUUUCCUUCAACCUUGCAAUUUCUUCAAACCCUUUGGAUGCUAGCAUCUCAAAUAACAGUAAGAUUCCCAAUAGUUAACUUCAGAGUAAUUUUCUCAAAGGUAAUUUCUCCGAAGUCAUUGGAAUUGCUCUAUGUGCAGCUGAAAUCUUUCCUUUCAGUGAUAUUUACAUAACACAAAAAUUUGCUGUUUUAUGCAGAAAUAGUUUUCUAAUGGACCAGUUUUUAUUACUUUCCCUAAAAUACUUAUAGAAAGAAUUUAUCAUUUAACAAAGUUUGCCAGGAUAUCUGCUUUUCCCAGAAAUGCCAAAAAGGAUUUUUUAAAACGAUGCAUUGUCAUUUUAAUCUUGCUUCAUAUCCCAAAAGUUUGUAAAACAUCAUGACUGGGUGAAGGUCUGGAUUGCUUGGUUCUUUAUGUAGAUUUUAGUGCCUUGAAGCAAUAUGAUUAAACACAGCAAAUUCUGGAAUAAAAAGUAAUUCAUGUUUUCUGAACAUUUUUUUUUUCAGUAAUAGCUCAGUUUCCAUUAUUUCCUUGAACUCUUUCUAUAUAUUUCUUUCCUCAUCCUAUCUUUGCCAUGAAUAGCUUUUUCUCCUUUUUAUGUGUCUGAAGGAAGUGUCUGGUUUUGUACUUUACUGGUAAAUGUUAAAUUUCUCCUCUGCUGUAUUCCUUUUGACCUCACAUCAUCUUAACUUCCCUCAAACCAGUAAUUCCAAGUACAAAGAAAUACUAAGUUACAAUUUACUUAUGGUACUAAGCAAUUUGUUUAUACCUAUGAUAUGUUAAAACAAAACAAAACAAAACAAAAAUUGAAGCAAUGUAUGAAGGUCUUUUGGAAGGACUGAAAGCAUUUAUUUUUAAGUGUUUGCUUUAUUGUCCAUGAAAGUAAUAAAUUGAUGCCAGUUGUUACUGGAGUUUUUUCAGAGCCAAAUCCAGUUGUAGAAGUCCUAUGAUUUAUAUAACCCUGAGACUUGAAAUUAAUAUUGAGGUUAAUUGCUUUCAAGAGGUAGAACAAGAGCUAAAUUCAUGGACUCAGGAGCCAGAUUGCCUGGGUUUGAAUCAAUUUCUUCUCUGCCACUUUCUAGCUCUCAGAACUUGAACCACAUUGCUAUUCUAUGUUUGUUUUCUCAGUUAAUAAAAUGAAGAUAAUAAUAGUAUCCACUUUUAUUAACGUAAAGCAUUUAGAAGAAUUCUUGGUACUUGGUAAAUUAUAUGUGUUCCAUAUUAUAAAUUUCUAAAUUAUUAUUUUUAAAAUUAGGGUUUUCCCAGAAUGCACCUUAUCCCAUAUACAGGUGCAUAGAAUAACUUACCUAGAGGAUUGCUCUUUUUCUUUUGUAAGAAUGAUAUUAAAAACUUAAGUUGUCAAUUCUAAACAUGGAUGUAUUUAAUAAUUUCUAUACUGUUUAAACUUUUUUUCCUGUUUUGAUUACACAGCAUCUUAGAUGGAAGUAUCUGGAAACUCUUCACAAAUAAAUGUUUCUUUACUAAAGUCUUCUUUUUAAAUUAAAUUUAAAUGAGAGUUAGUCAGUCUACUUAAGUAUAGAGGCCAUUUUCACCUGCAAGAGCUAGAAAAGUGAAAAAAAAAAAAAAGAGUAAGAGAAAUUUGGAAAGAGAUGGAAGUGGGUCUUACAGAAAAUAAAGCUGAUAAUCUCUCCAUCAGUAGUUCCUUUUUGUUCAUUCAGCCAAUCUUUGUUUAAAUAUUUUAUUUUAUUUAUUUUAUUUUUUUACAGCCACACCUGUGGAAUAUGGAAGUUCCCAGGCCAGAGGUUGAAUCUGAGAUGCCCUGUUGGCCUAUGGCACAGCCAUAGCCAUGCCAGAGCCAGAUCUGAGCUGCAUCUUUAACCUGCACUGCAGCUUAUGGCAAUGCAGGAUCCUUAACCCACUGAGCGAGAACAGGGAUUGAACCAAUAUCCUCAUAGAGACAGUGUUGGAUCCUUAACAUGCUGAACAAAAAUGGGAACUCCUCCACCAAUAUUUUUUGAAAUGUUUUUUAGGAAAUGCAUUGCAAACACUACUUCCCGUUCUCAUGAUGUCUGUUGUUGAAUAGCAACUCAUUGUGGUAAAUAUUGCUAUGGUAUCUAGCACAUUCUAUCAGAAAGAAGUCUUGCUAAAGAUGGAAUUCUUGGUUCAGUCCAAAGAGGAGUUCUUCAGAUUAGAAAUUUAUGAAAGCUAUGAAAGAAGUUGUUGAGAGGGAUAAACCCAAAUUUUACUCUGAGAAUGAUAUAAACUUUAAUACCGCCAUCCUAAUAGCUAAUAUUUUAUUAUGUGCUAAAUACAAUUUGUGCAUGCUAAAAACAAUUCUAUAAGUUUAUUUCAUUUUACAGUUAUUAAAUUGAAACUUAAAAGGGCAAAGGAGUUUGUUUAGGGUCAGGUGGCCUCAGAGAGAUCUAUCUGACACCAUAUCUAAAUCUAUGAUUGAAGAGAAUGAAAAGAAAGAAUAUAUAUACAUGUGUGAAUCACUUUUCUGUAUAUCUGAAACUAACUUUGUAAAGCAACUGUAUUUCAAUAAAUCUUUUUUUAAAAAAAUGCUUGGUAGAAUCACUACGGAUAAAAAACAAAGCACAUCCCAGUCAGGUCUAUCACUCCAUGACCUUUUGCCCUGUUCAGGGUCCUUCAUUUGAAAUUCUCAUUCAUUUAUUCAUUUGUUUAUUUACUUUGUCACCCUGAUAAAAUCCUGAACAUCACAAAAGAGCAGCAGGUACCCAAUAGGCCAUAUUUUAUUAAAUGAAUAAAAAUUUAAUGUUAGUUCAUAUAAUCCUUAAAAUAAUUCUAGAUCUUAAUCAUUAUUUUACUAUUAUUUUCUUUUUACAAGUAGGAAAACAGAAACAGGUGGGUAGAAACAGAAGACCCAAGGAUAUUCUCUAACCUGUGGAUUAAAAGCUAGAUUUAAUUUUACCCAAAGCUCAUUCACUUUCUUAUAUCCACAGUUAUAUCCGUAAUGGCCUCUCCCCAGACACACCAUUGAAACUGUAACUGAGCAGGACCCCAGGAGGCCUUCCCAGAGUGGAACCCCAUCAUGUCCUCCAUUUGCCUUUUUAUCUAUAGAAAAGCUUUAGUCAAAGAACCAAGUUAAUCAGAGAAG